Molecule: ribosomal RNA, 465 nt
Filed under: uncultured bacterium
Lineage: Bacteria
Description: partial 16S ribosomal RNA
Rfam family: Bacterial small subunit ribosomal RNA
Source: RNAcentral
CCUACGGGUGGCUGCAGUGGGGAAUAUUGCGCAAUGGGCGAAAGCCUGACGCAGCGACGCCGCGUGAGGGAUGAAGGUCUUCGGAUCGUAAACCUCUGUCAGCAGGGAAGAACGGUCACUGUGCUAAUCAGCAGUGAAUUGACGGUACCUGCAAAGGAAGCACCGGCUAACUCCGUGCCAGCAGCCGCGGUAAUACGGAGGGUGCGAGCGUUAAUCGGAAUUACUGGGCGUAAAGCGCUCGUAGGCGGUAUGUCAAGUCAAGUGUGAAAUCCCCGCGCUCAACGUGGGAACUGCCUUUGAAACUGGCAAACUGGAGUGUGUGAGAGGAUAGUGGAAUUCCAGGUGUAGGAGUGAAAUGCGUAGAGAUCUGGAGGAACAUCAGUGGCGAAGGCGACUAUCUGGCACAUAACUGACGCUGAGGAGCGAAAGCGUGGGUAGCAAACAGGAUUAGAUACCCGAGUAGUC